AGGGCCACAUCACGUCGAAACACCAGUUCUCGUACGAUUACCGACGACCGAAGUUAAGCAGCGUUGAGCCUGGUCAAUACCUAGACUGGUGACCGCUUGUGAACGCCAGGUGCUGUAAG
This is a non-coding RNA of Acanthosepion pharaonis, 119 nucleotides long. The record is from the annotation of a GenBank genome assembly. Lineage: Eukaryota; Metazoa; Mollusca; Cephalopoda; Sepiida; Sepiidae.